AGGGACACGCGGAUUCGCGCGUCACAGUGACCCCCACCGUCUCCUGGGAGAUGGGACACUGAGGCUUGGUAAAGCAGGUGAAGCAGGAGGCAACAGUGGGUCGGUGUCGAGGCUCCCACCUGACCUCUCCAGGGGGUCGACAGGAGGUUUCCUGGAUGCCAGGAAAAUGCCAGGGGUGGCGGAAAGUGACAGGGAUGAAGAAACCUCAGGUGGAGUUUCAGAGAGCGGGAUCUCAGCCUCAGGCAGGCCCAGACGGUGUGUGGUGUCUGCAAGUGGGGUGUCAUGUAUGGAUCCAGUUCAUUGUUGAGGUUGUUACUUGCCUUUUGGACAAAACUCCCAGUCACACAGAUAGGACAUAA
This 359-nucleotide long non-coding RNA is filed under the name Callithrix jacchus (white-tufted-ear marmoset). Its description in RNAcentral is "lncRNA (ENSCJAG00000069678.1)". The record is from RNAcentral. Lineage: Eukaryota; Metazoa; Chordata; Mammalia; Primates; Cebidae.